Molecule: ribosomal RNA, 786 nt
Filed under: Brachyspira hyodysenteriae
Lineage: Bacteria; Pseudomonadati; Spirochaetota; Spirochaetia; Brachyspirales; Brachyspiraceae
Description: bacterial SSU rRNA
Rfam family: Bacterial small subunit ribosomal RNA
Source: RNAcentral
GGAGGCAAACGUUGCUCGGAUUUACUGGGCGUAAAGGGUGAGUAGGCGGACUUAUAAGUCUAAGGUGAAAGACCGAAGCUCAACUUCGGAAACGCCUCGGAUACUGUAAGUCUUGGAUAUUGUAGGGGAUGAUGGAAUUCUCGGUGUAGCGGUGGAAUGCGCAGAUAUCGAGAGGAACACCUAUAGCGAAGGCAGUCAUCUGGGCAUUUAUCGACGCUGAAUCACGAAAGCUAGGGGAGCAAACAGGCUUAGAUACCCUGGUAGUCCUAGCCGUAAACGUUGUACACUAGGUGCUUCUAUUUAAAUAGGAGUGCCGUAGCUAACGUCUUAAGUGUACCGCCUGAGGAGUAUGCCCGCAAGGGUGAAACUCAAAGAAAUUGACGGGUCCCCGCACAAGUGGUGGAGCAUGUGGUUUAAUUCGAUGAUACGCGAAAAACCUUACCUGGGUUUGAAUUGUAAGAUGAAUGAUUUAGAGAUAAGUCAGACCGCAAGGACGUUUUACAUAGGUGCUGCAUGGCUGUCGUCAGCUCGUGUCGUGAGAUGUUGGGUUAAGUCCCGCAACGAGCGCAACCCUCACCCUUUGUUGCUACCGAGUAAUGUCGGGCACUCUUAGGGGACUGCCUACGUUCAAGUAGGAGGAAGGUGGGGAUGAUGUCAAGUCCUCAUGGCCCUUAUGUCCAGGGCUACACACGUGCUACAAUGGCAAGUACAAAGAGAAGCAAGACCGCGAGGUGGAGCAAAACUCAAAAAAGUUGCCUCAGUUCGGAUUGGAGUCUGAAACUCGAC